This 301-nucleotide ribosomal RNA is filed under the name uncultured bacterium. RNAcentral describes it as "partial 16S ribosomal RNA". It matches the Rfam family "Bacterial small subunit ribosomal RNA", at positions 509 to 807 of the family's 1533-position model. The record is from RNAcentral.
CAGCCGCCACGGUAAUACGUAGGUGGCAAGCGUUGUCCGGAAUUAUUGGGCGUAAAGGGCUCGCAGGCGGUUUCUUAAGUCUGAUGUGAAGGCCCCCGGCUCAACCGGGGAGGGCCAUUGGGAACUGGGAAACUUGAGUGCAGAAGAGGAGAGUGGAAUUCCACGUGUAGCGGUGGAAUGCGUAGAGAUGUGGAGGAACACCAGUGGCGAAGGCGAUUCUCUGGUCUGUAACUGACGCUGAGGAGCGAAAGCGUGGGGAGCGAACAGGAUUAGAUACCCCAGUAGUCCCUGUCUCUUAUAC